GUUUAAUAACUUGCGUAGCCAAGCUCCUUUGUGUGUAUGUGCAUGCAUGUUUGUAUGCGUCUCUCUCUCUCUCUGUGUGUGUGUGUGUGUGUGUGUGUGUGUGUGUGUGUGUGUGUGUGUGUGUGUGUGUAUGUGUGAGAGAGGGAGAGAGAAACAGAGUGAGAGAGAGGGGUGAGACAGGGAGGAAAAACAGAGAGUUAGAGUGUGUGUAAAAGAGAGAGAGAAAGAGAAAGAGAGAGAGAGAGACAGAUCGGGCAGGACAUCAGAAGAUCGGACAGACAUAGUUUGUUAGCGUGUGUGAAUGUGUUUGAGUGUGUGUGUUUGUGUGUGUGGGACAGAGGCAGGGAGAGAGGGAGAGAGAGAGAGAGAGAAGAACCCAUUCCCCUCAGUUCCACACUAACUUUUCAACGUGUGCACUUGAGGGAAGUUAGCUGUUCGACCGGCUACGGAGGGGUUUUUUUCUUCCCUUUUCUCCCACCUAUACACUUUUCCCCUUUCUGCAAUAACAUCGACGAGACAAGCAGAGAACUUCCAACUGAAUAACUGUCUGCUAUUAUUUCACACAGGUGACUGGGAUGUGUAGCGUGUGUGAGGAGGAGAUGGAAUAUGCUGGGGGAGAAAGAGGCACUGCUCUGGGCUAGGUAAGGUCAUUAUUGUGGAGUCACUACAACGUUGUUGAUCCAUCCUCAGUUUUCUCCUAUCAAAGCCAUUGAACUCUGUAGCUGUUUUAAAAUCCCCAAUGGCCUACUGGUAACAUCCAUGAGCAGUUUCCUUCCUGUCCUGCAGCUCAGUUAAGAAGGACGACUGUAUCUUUGAUGUGUCUGGGUGGUUUAAUACAUCAAACACAGCAUAAUUAUUAAAUUGACCAUGCUUAAAGAGAUA
Long non-coding RNA from Salmo salar (Atlantic salmon), 882 nucleotides. RefSeq lists it as uncharacterized. Lineage: Eukaryota; Metazoa; Chordata; Actinopteri; Salmoniformes; Salmonidae. The record is from RefSeq and is a predicted model, not a curated record.